Chinchilla lanigera (long-tailed chinchilla) is the source of this 666-nucleotide long non-coding RNA. RefSeq lists it as uncharacterized. The record is from RefSeq and is a predicted model, not a curated record. The transcript has 2 exons. NCBI's taxonomy places the organism in Eukaryota, Metazoa, Chordata, Mammalia, Rodentia, Chinchillidae.
AGUGUUUGACGCAGUGUUUAGAGUUUAGCGUGAUUGUUUCUUUCUGGGGAAUGCUCCUCCUGGGUGCCAGUGCAUUCGGGCCUGGCUACAGCCCUGCGGAUCUGUUAUCAUCCACAUUUUAAACAUGAAGAAACCGAGGCUCAAGGAGACCAAGUAACUUGGCCAUGGUCAGCCAGGCGGCGAAGGAAAGCAGUCUAGAACCAGACUCUGGUCACGGGGACACUGUAUGCAGAAGAAAGCAAAGCAGAUUUUCUUUCAAAAGGAAACAGGACAAGGCACAUGAGAAAAAAAAUCAUCUGGAGACAACUUGAGCGACCAGUGUGAUCAAAGGAAGCACUAGCAUGAGGGUAGGAGGGAUCAGAGCUUGAAUUUCCGAGGUUCUCAACAGAAGUCCGAGCAUAUCGAGGCGGAUGGCUUCACUCUAGCUUCCCAAGGUGACAAGUGGGCUCUUCCGCAUCUGUAGCCACAGAACUCAGAGUACACAAAACUGAAAUGCCAAUGAUGGAACAGUUUAGAGCAACUGAAGAAGAGCAUCUUCUUAUUCUCUCUUCCCGAAGGGGGCCUUAAUCAACAGCCCAUCAAACGGCUUCCUUAGCCUGACUUUAUGCAGAAUCCCAAGAAGCCCUGGACCUAGAAAUAGAAAGCAAAAUAAAAUAUAAUGUGAGC